Sitodiplosis mosellana (orange wheat blossom midge) is the source of this 347-nucleotide long non-coding RNA. RefSeq lists it as uncharacterized. The transcript is spliced from 2 exons. The record is from RefSeq and is a predicted model, not a curated record. Lineage: Eukaryota; Metazoa; Arthropoda; Insecta; Diptera; Cecidomyiidae.
UUUGAACUGUAAGCGGAAAACGAUUUUCGAUAAAUGUAACUCGCUGAUAGCUGACAUGUGUAUACAUCUAAAUGUUUCUGCGUCAACACAACUUAACCAAUAGUUGAUUAACAUUUUAGCCAGUUAUCAACUUUCACCAGUUUGCCUGUUUGUAUUGGACUUAAAUUCUAAUUAACUUAGCUAUAGUGGAAUAUUGGAAAAUUUUGUGAUAAAUAAUUUCUAAUAAAAUGUAACUAAAAAUAGAGUUAAAGCCAUGAAGAACUGGAAACGAAUAAAAACAAAGCCCAAGGAAAAGAGACCCACCACGUAAUAAAAUGAAUUUUGGGUUAAAAAAAAAGCACCAAAAA